This 89-nucleotide transfer RNA is filed under the name Caudoviricetes sp. RNAcentral describes it as "tRNA-Arg". The stretch from base 1 to 67 matches the Rfam family "tRNA". Rfam says of the family: Transfer RNA (tRNA) molecules are approximately 80 nucleotides in length. Lineage: Duplodnaviria; Heunggongvirae; Uroviricota; Caudoviricetes. The record is from RNAcentral.
GUAGUUCAAUUGGAUAGAACAAGCCCCUCCUAAGGGUUAGAUCCGGAUUCGAGUUCCAUCUAAUUUAUUCAUUUCUCUUCAGUACACUA